CUUGCUUCUAUGACGUUAGCGGCGGACGGGUGAGUAACACGUGGGCAACCUGCCUGUAAGACUGGGAUAACUUCGGGAAACCGAAGCUAAUACCGGAUAGGAUCUUCUCCUUCAUGGGAGAUGAUUGAAAGAUGGUUUCGGCUAUCACUUACAGAUGGGCCCGCGGUGCAUUAGCUAGUUGGUGAGGUAACGGCUCACCAAGGCAACGAUGCAUAGCCGACCUGAGAGGGUGAUCGGCCACACUGGGACUGAGACACGGCCCAGACUCCUACGGGAGGCAGCAGUAGGGAAUCUUCCGCAAUGGACGAAAGUCUGACGGAGCAACGCCGCGUGAGUGAUGAAGGCUUUCGGGUCGUAAAACUCUGUUGUUAGGGAAGAACAAGUACGAGAGUAACUGCUCGUACCUUGACGGUACCUAACCAGAAAGCCACGGCUAACUACGUGCCAGCAGCCGCGGUAAUACGUAGGUGGCAAGCGUUAUCCGGAAUUAUUGGGCGUAAAGCGCGCGCAGGCGGUUUCUUAAGUCUGAUGUGAAAGCCCACGGCUCAACCGUGGAGGGUCAUUGGAAACUGGGGAACUUGAGUGCAGAAGAGAAAAGCGGAAUUCCACGUGUAGCGGUG
RNAcentral lists this ribosomal RNA (620 nucleotides) under Priestia aryabhattai. RNAcentral describes it as "bacterial SSU rRNA". It matches the Rfam family "Bacterial small subunit ribosomal RNA", at positions 75 to 683 of the family's 1533-position model. The record is from RNAcentral. Lineage: Bacteria; Bacillati; Bacillota; Bacilli; Caryophanales; Bacillaceae. RNAcentral also lists the same sequence under 1 other name.